CAGGUUCUCUGCUUUUUCCACGGUGACAUCUUUCAUGGACAGCUUGAGAGCUCCAACUCCAGCCUGGUAGGCAUUAAAUACCUUAACAGAAAAAGAAAAAAGGAGGAUGAAUGGUCCGGUUUCUCUAAGCCAGAAAGUGGAAAGAAAUGGUUCAGAUAUCUGUAAUAGACUAGUUCAUCUUAUCAGAACAUUUCUGCUCUAUAGAAAACUGUAACAACCACUAUUCAGUGUGUUGUCAAAGGCCACUAGAAGCAUCCAAAAGGUAAAAGGGUAAUAUUUUUCCAGCUGGGGUAGAAAAUAUGUGUUGUCUCUAUGUUCUGACAGCAGAAUAUCAGUACAAUACACCUUAAGAGACACCAUAUAGACCUUGUCCUACAAAGUUAAAAUAAAAGUCCUUGCAGAACGAUAAGACACGCACCUCAGCUGCUCCUCUCCCUCAACAAUAAGGUUGGUGGCCUCUACAGUCACCAAUUCUGAAAACUACAAAACUAAAGUCGCUUUGGAAAUACACACAUCCCUUUGGCGACCCUGUUCGCUCACCUCCCAUGUGAUACAUUGACAUCAAAAACCAUUCUGAGUUUCAAAUCCAGCUGCCCAACUGAAUGUGCCCAAUACUUACCAGCUGCUUUUUCCCACUUCUACAUGCACUCCGAGCUUCCUCUUUAUAUCUAUAAAAAUAAGAUGUGAACUGCUCAGUUUGGCUUUUAACUUUGUCUUUAUUGAUGUUGUGAAAUGUGUUAUAUUGGUCUUUUAUAUGAUUGUUUUUAUGAUUGAAUGUUUUAUACUAUUCACCUGUAUUGCCUAAUUUAUUGUUUAUUUUUCUGACAUUGAAUGUUAGCCUUUUAUGUUGUUAGCCACCCUGAGUCCCCAUGGAGAGAUGGGGCAGAAUAUAAAUAAAGUUUGUUUGAUUGAUUGUUACA
Anolis carolinensis (green anole) is the source of this 920-nucleotide long non-coding RNA. RefSeq lists it as uncharacterized. The record is from RefSeq and is a predicted model, not a curated record. The transcript has 2 exons. NCBI's taxonomy places the organism in Eukaryota, Metazoa, Chordata, Lepidosauria, Squamata, Anolidae.